GAAUGGGCAAUAUUUCUCAUGAAAAAGUGGAUAAGUGUCCAUAAACAGCGCAGAUCAUAAUGAGCGAGCGUGUUUUUUAAAUAAAGUUUGAGGAAGCUUGAUGAUGACGUUGAUCCGCGACCGGUGCGCUGUAGUCCGUUUAUAGCAUACCGUUAGCAUUUUAUAUCUGACGGCUUUAUUUAGGCUUCAAAAUGUAUACAUUUUCGAUUAACUUAUAAAGAUUAUCUUGAUAGACAAAACGUGUAAGGUUCAUAACUCUUUGUUGAACACAGAUCUUAUUUUUUGCGAUUUUCCAAAAGUCUAUGGGAAAAAUGAAUGGCUUUUCGAUCGAGGGAACCCAUGCGCCGCUAACUUCCGGGUUGGCCUACAAAGUGACGUCAUGACUUCGGCACUCUAUACACACGAAACACACGUGAUUGUUGUCAUGUGGUGAAUCCGACCAAUCGUGAAACAGCUGUGUCGUCAUUACAGCCCGUGCAGCUCCUCUUCGCGAACUGCGCUGGCUUACUCAGGCGGCUGAUCUCGAACUUCUCUCGCGGUACUUAAAAACCAUAUGACACAAUCACGUGCCUGCAGCGCCAGCUGAAGUCGGACAAAAAUACUAACCGGAAUGCACUGCUUCAAGUCAGCCACCGAUCGGUCUGCGCAGCGCCGCAUGAAGUCGAACACACCUCACGUCUCCGUUUUCAGCUCCUCCCCGCCUGCACGCGGCUAAUCUCGCCGAUCGGUUACAUCCAGCUACAGCCGAUGUCGAACACACCUAGUAACAACACAAGCUUCGAAUCAAAGCUUCAUCUGGCACGCCCACUUUUGCUCGACAAAAGCUCCGAAGCCUCGCUUCAAAUAUGCUAGUUUGGUGAAAGUACACACUGAGUGCUUCAAAUCAUUCAGAAGAGAUGCUGUUUUUAAGGCAGUUUAUUAAAGAAGACCUGACAUGGAUGACUUCCAAUGAGAAACGACUGCUAAUACUUAUAUAAAUUCGUUACAGAAGGUACGUUUAUAUAUUUAUACAUGUAAAUCAUUUUAUUUGACAUAACUGAACAGUUAACCAAUCUUUUUAGUAUAGUUUUGUACAUAUUAUGGUUAUUAAUCUGGCAAGAAAGUCACAUGACCUGCUGCCAACUUUAAUAAAAAAUAUAUUAUCUUCUCAUACAUCGUUUUGCUAUUGAUAUCAUAUUAAAUAGCAAUUAAAUUGAUUACUAAUUUGGAAAUGUAUAAAUGAAGAUUCAUAUUGUCUUGAGUGCUGUUUUUAAUAUAAAAAGAAUGUUGAGUUUUCAGAGUCUUUAUUGUCAUUUUUUUGUGAUAGGACCCUACCAGGCUAUAUUUGAAUACGGCAUACCCAUGAAUUCUGAACUGUUAUUCCUUAACCCAGUUUGGAGGAUAACAGCUUACCAACUAGUUAUGCGAGUACACAGAGUACAUUAGUACUGUACACUGUCUCUAAUGAUUUGUUAUACUGAGAUGAUUUUGAUUCAAAUAACUGUUAAAACUGCACCCUUUUUGGUAUUUUCUUGACUCUUUUUGUCUUUGAAAAUCUGCAGAAAUAUGCUGAGGCGAUGUAUUGCCGAAUAGCCAACAUACAGGACACACAGGACAAACACAUCAUCAUCAUCUGAGACAACAUAGGGAUGAAACACACUUUUUUUUAGCAAAUUUUAGCAUCACACCCCUGCUGAAAAAACCAGCUAAAACCAGCUUAAGCUGGUCAAGCUGGUUUUAGCUGGUUUAAGAUGGAAAUAGCUGGUUUUAGCUGGUCUCCCAGCCUGGCCAGGCUGGUCAAGCUGGUCUCCCAGGCUGGUCAAGCUGGUCUCCCAGGCUGGCCAGGUUGGUCAAGCUGGUCUCCCAGCCUGGCCAGGCUGGUCAAGCUGGUCUCCCAGCCUGGUCAAGGUGGUCUCCCAGGCUGGCCAGGUUGGUCAAGCUGGUCUCCCAGGCUGGCCAGGCUGGUCAAGCUGGUCUCCCAGCCUGGUCAAGGUGGUCUCCCAGGCUGGCCAGGUUGGUCAAGCUGGUCUCCCAGCCUGGCCAGGCUGGUCAAGCUGGUCUCCCAGCCUGGUCAAGGUGGUCUCCCAGGCUGGCCAGGUUGGUCAAGCUGGUCUCCCAGCCUGGCCAGGCUGGUCAAGCUGGUCUCCCAGCCUGGUCAAGGUGGUCUCCCAGCCUGGCCAUGCUGGUCAAGCUGAUCUCCCAGGCUGGUCUGUUUUAUGACAUUUUAAUUUGUGAAUCCUUUAGAUAAAAAUGUAAAAACUCAUUUUAUGAAAAUACUUAUAUUUUUAAAAUUUAACAAAAGUAAUUGAUCAAGUUAAAAAUAUAUUAGACACAUGCAAAUAAAUCAUCUUUGUAUCUUUAUUUUUCCCUUUCAAAACAAGUGCCUUUUUGGUAAAUAUUUUUCUAGGUUGCUCAUAUUAUAUAAAGUUUAAGAAGCUACAAAUAUUUUAUGUUUACUAUUACAUUGAUUUUAACACUGGUGGGGCAUGUGAUUUCCAUGUGAUGAAUUCAGGAGAUGGAUUAGGCUAUUUUUGUAAGCAUUAUUAUGGUUGUUUUAUUUUUAGUAUAUUUUCAUCACAAUGUCUAAAAUAUAACGUUUGAAAUAUAAAUUUUAAGAAUACCAUUAAUAAUGUAAUAACAUCCAACCUUUUCUCGGCUUUCUUUAUACAGUGCCACAGACAGCUCCCUCAGCCUUUUGUAAGCAAAGCAUGCCCAUGCGGGCCCACUGUGGGGUUUACUGUGGGACAGUGUGGACAGGGCAAACUCACACCACAUUCCAAAUGGGCCCCACACAGGGCCCAUAUGGGCAGGGCGAGCAGGCUCCAUAUGACUUUUCCCUUUUAAGCCCCAUGGGGGUUUUUAGUGGGCAUGCCCACAGAAAACCCACACAUGCCCCAUAUUUUUUAGCUUGCCCCCAUUAGUUUGCCAUAGUAGGGCCUAAUAAUUUUUUAAAAUAUUUUAUUUUUAAAAUAAGUUAUUAUUAAAUUAUUAAAAUAAUUAUCAUUGGUUGUUAUUAUCUUAGCAGAUAAUUUUUUUAUGUUUAUUGUUGUUGUUAAAUCAAAAACCAGUUACUACACUUUUAUUAUAAUAAAAACAUUUCUUUUAUUUUUUUAUAAAGCUCUGUCCAUUUAGAACAAAAUGUGCAUGCCUGUUUAUGAAAUAAUUGAACCCACCCCCGGAUGAAGAUCUAAAAAGCUAUGUUUUAAAAGCACAACAUUUCUGUUAAUUUUAAUAGAAGAAAUAUUUAUUGUUAAACAAGUUCUAAUUUUCAGUUCCGUCUGGACGUGGGACAUCUUUUUUACCAUCUUUAUUGUUUUUUUAACAUGUUGUCUUUUGUUAUGUGUUAUUAGCUAUGGUUAUGAUUAGUCAUGUUCGACUUCAUGCUGCGCUGCGAGAACCGACAUCAUACGUUGAUGACGUCAAUGUAUCGCGAGAGCGAGUCAAGAAUUACACUCUCGCGGUACAUUGACGUUAUCAACCUGUCAGCGCAGCAAGAAGUCGAACACACGUAUUUGCGGGCGCGCGCCUCCGUCCUCGUGAGUUCAAAGUGGAUUUUAACCGUUUACCUCAGGCGACAGUUUUCAUUUAUAUGGCAAAUUCUAAGGUCAUUUUCUUGUUGUGUUUUGAUGUUUUCCAUUGGCUGAAGAAUUACCAUGCAAUUUGAAGAAGUGUGAUAAAAUACACAGAGGUGAAGUCAUGUGUCUUUCCAGAUGCCCAAUCUGUACCACUCAAAAAGUAAUGAAGUGACAGUGUACCAUGACAAAAAAUCUAAGAUGAGCCUGAAGAGGAGAUUUGGGAAGAUGCUGUUUAUAAGUCUUUGCUUUGCCAGAUCACCUGUGGUCGAGAUGUCUGCUAACAAGAUGCCUUGUUGGUCUGGACGAGUUUGAAGUCUCUCACAGACAGUCCAGAAGGUCUGGAGUCCAUCUUAGCUUUUAUUGAUGCUUUCAUCGGGUUUUAAGUACAGUAUGAGCCAGAAUGGAAGGGUGUUGGUGGCCAUAAGAAGACUGUGAGCUAAACCUACAACAAAAUUCAUAUUUGCAGUUUUCCUAUAAAUUUUUUUCUAUUCAGAUGAAUAAAAUGACUUUUAAAUAUUAUUUUGUUUUCAUAUUUUAUGUUUUUAUUCUGUAUUUGGAAUAUUCCACUUCCGCACUACUAACUGGAAACCUAACUGUUUGAAAGAAUUUGUUUUUAUCUAUAAAAGAUCAAUUUUAACAGCU
This is a non-coding RNA of Misgurnus anguillicaudatus (oriental weatherfish), 4196 nucleotides long. The record is from RefSeq and is a predicted model, not a curated record. Lineage: Eukaryota; Metazoa; Chordata; Actinopteri; Cypriniformes; Cobitidae.